Molecule: ribosomal RNA, 680 nt
Filed under: uncultured Lachnospiraceae bacterium
Lineage: Bacteria; Bacillati; Bacillota; Clostridia; Lachnospirales; Lachnospiraceae
Description: bacterial SSU rRNA
Rfam family: Bacterial small subunit ribosomal RNA
Source: RNAcentral
GAUGAACGCUGGCGGCGUGCUUAACACAUGCAAGUCGAACGAGAAAUAUUUUAUUGAAACUUCGGUCGAUUUAAUUUAUUUCUAGUGGCGGACGGGUGAGUAACGCGUGGGUAACCUGCCUUAUACUGGGGGAUAACAGCCAGAAAUGACUGCUAAUACCGCAUAAGCGCACAGAACCGCAUGGUUCGGUGUGAAAAACUCCGGUGGUAUAAGAUGGACCCGCGUUGGAUUAGCUGGUUGGCAGGGCAGCGGCCUACCAAGGCGACGAUCCAUAGCCGGCCUGAGAGGGUGAACGGCCACAUUGGGACUGAGACACGGCCCAGACUCCUACGGGAGGCAGCAGUGGGGAAUAUUGCACAAUGGGGGAAACCCUGAUGCAGCGACGCCGCGUGAAGGAAGAAGUAUCUCGGUAUGUAAACUUCUAUCAGCAGGGAAGAUAAUGACGGUACCUGACUAAGAAGCCCCGGCUAACUACGUGCCAGCAGCCGCGGUAAUACGUAGGGGGCAAGCGUUAUCCGGAUUUACUGGGUGUAAAGGGAGCGUAGACGGCGCAGCAAGUCUGAUGUGAAAGGCAGGGGCUUAACCCCUGGACUGCAUUGGAAACUGCUGUGCUUGAGUGCCGGAGGGGUAAGCGGAAUUCCUAGUGUAGCGGUGAAAUGCGUAGAUAUUAGGAGGAACAC